GAGUUAUUUACGGGGAAAAUUGGCUUAGAAAGACUGGUGACAAAGGGCGGAAACUGUUUUUAAGAUCAUUAAGUCUCCCCCAGUAUCCAAAGUGCUCUCUUGAGAUAAAAGGAAUGUAAAGGAAAAGUAGUUUAAUUACAUUUGUCAAGGCUUCGGUUUACGCGGUUUGAAGAAGUGUUUUGUAUGGAAGAAAAAAUGGAGCUAAACAUUUAAGGAAAUUAAUCCAGAAAUUUAAAAAAAUUCUUUUUAAAAGAUGGAAAUAAAUGAAGACCAUCUACAUGGGAACAAGUUGCUAUGAUGACAGGGUUCUUGUCUAGGUAAGGAAAAGCUUAAUGAAAACACAGGGACGUUUCCGUAAGCCCUGAUUAGAGACUGUUAUCAUGGGGAAGCUGGAGGAGGAGUAACUAGAAAUUGCACAUUUUAGGGAAAUGGUUUAGGGAGAAUAUUUGGUUUUCUCUGGUUUGUCCUUAAGUGGAAGCAAAAAUAAGAAGUUGGUAGCCCUUCAGGAUGUCCUGACUGCUCUGAAAGUGGUGGUUACCGCAGAGAUUUCUUUCGUGGGUCAGAGUUCUAGUGUCAUUUAAGUCGCCAUUGUCCUUUUGUUUACUCAGUGUAUCACAAGAGAUCUAAGUUAUUCUAACACGUGGGUUUUACAGUUGCCGUUGGGUCACGGCUCCAGGAGAUUCCACAGGGUGGAAAAACCUGCUGUUUCAGGACUGUCUGUGCCUUGAGCAAUAGCCCGACUGGAAGCUGUGUGGCUGUUGCUGCACGGAAGUGUGGCAUCCUCUGUGGUGUUUCUUGGCAUGUGAUACAAACGCAAUAGAGGGAAAAGGGCUCUUUUUUCUUUUUUUCAUAUAGCAAAUAUGCUCAAACCUAUAAUUAAAUUAAGAAAUAUCUAAAUUCAGGAGAAAUAAUAGGAGGAAGCCAUUUAAGCAGGAGAGAGGAUUAUUGCUCCAACUCAUGAAAUCUGCUUAUAGAUUAUCUGUUACAUAAUGCAUUACAGAGAUGUGCUAUUACUGACCAUUAUACUUUUUUCUUCUUCUAUGCCCCUUUCUUUGCAAAGUAACUUAGAUGAGUGCUAAUUAUUAAAAUGGUCACAAAUUAGCCAAACAACGAAGCCUUAGCUCUGCCUUUGAUAAAAACACAGUUGGUAGAACUUCCCAAAUUCCUGUUUAAAAUGCAGUGUCUGUGAAAGUAUAUUUUUUGUGUGCAUCUGUCUCGAUUUCUUUUGCUCACUAGUAACAGGAUAUAAAUUCUUUACCCCAUUUCUGGGAAUUUUAAACUGUAGGGGAAUGAACAAAUUUUAGGUGAUAGUAUGCAAGCCCCCGAGACCACUUAACACCUCUCCCCAGUAACCCCCUCCAAUUUGUUUAAAUUCAGUGAGCCAUGAAUUACUCUUAAAAAAACAUUAUCUAGUCCAUUUGUAAAGUGGUUACCAUCUAUAAUUUAUAAUUAUACCGUUAUAAUUUAUAAAAUUACCAUUUAUAAUUUUAUAGACAGGAUUAUGUUUAUGAUUAGGUGUUUAUAUGAAGCCACUUAUGAAAUAACUUAUUUUUCUAAGCUACUGUAACCUUGCUCUUCCUGUAGUGUUAAACAGUCAGCCAAUUUGUUGAGUACAUCAAUCCACAAGAAUUAAUUAAACUCUUACUUUGUGUUCACUGA
Vicugna pacos (alpaca) is the source of this 1659-nucleotide non-coding RNA. The record is from RefSeq and is a predicted model, not a curated record. NCBI's taxonomy places the organism in Eukaryota, Metazoa, Chordata, Mammalia, Artiodactyla, Camelidae.